This 2723-nucleotide ribosomal RNA is filed under the name Nephromyces sp. ex Molgula occidentalis. RNAcentral's name for it is "23S ribosomal RNA". It matches the Rfam family "Bacterial large subunit ribosomal RNA". Lineage: Eukaryota; Apicomplexa; Aconoidasida; Nephromycida. The record is from RNAcentral.
UCAAAAAAUUAAUAGCUUAAAGUGAAGACCUAGGUACCCACAGACGAAGAAGGACGUGUUUAGUCGACGAAACACUUCAUUUAGCUGACUAAAAGCAUUAAAAUUAGAAGAUUUCCGAAUGGGAUAUAACCCUUUAAAUUUUUAAUGAUAUUUCAUUAAAAAAGUAAACCUGGGGAACUGAAUCAUCUUAGUACCCAGAGGAAUAAAAAGUAACAACGAAUUCCUUAGUAGUGGCGAACGAAAAGGUAAAAAAGAUAAAAUAUCUUGUAAAAUCUUAGUAAAUUGGGAAAUGUUUUAUCCCUGUUGAAUUAAAAAACGAGGCUCACCUCGUAAUACUAAAUACUCGUGGGUAACCGAUAGUGAAUUAGUACCGUGAGGGAAAGGUGAAAAGAACCCCGUGAAGGGAAGUGAAAAGAAAGCGAAACUUUAAGCUAACAUACGAUAGAAGGGUUUAAUGAAGAGCCUAACUAUGUACCUAUUGAAGAAGGGGCCGAUGAGUCAUGGUUUGUAAGCAAAUAAAAGGUUAAAGAAAUUAGUCUGAAGCCAGAGUGUAAGCGAGCUAUAAAAAGCAUAUUAGAGUUUACUUCCAUGAACCCGAAGCCGGAUGAUCUAAGCAUGUCCAAAGUGAAGCAUAAGUUAAAUUAUGUGGAGGCUUGAACUGGUUAAUGUUGCAAAAUUAUCAGAUGAGGUGUGUUUAGGGGUGAAAUGCCAAACGAAUCCGGAGCUAGCUGGUUCUCCCCGAAAUGUAUUUAAGUACAGCUACUAAGUUAUAUUAAUAGUAGGGGUAAAGCACUAUUUUAAUUAAAGCUAUAAAUAUUAAUAGUAUUUGAUUAAUUUAACCUAUGAAUACUACUAUUUUUUAGUAAGUGAGACUUAAGGGGCAAAUCUCUUAAGUCAAAAGGGAAACAACCCACACCAUAAGUUAAGGUCCUUAAAGAUUGUUAAGUUUUAAAAGGAAGUGAAAUUGUUAUAACAUCCAGAAGGUUGGCUUAGAAGCAGCAAUCCUUUAAAGAGUGCGUAAUAGCUCACUGGUUUAGUGAUUUUGUGCCGAAAAUAUACGGGAAUAAACAAUCUACCGAAACUGUGGGGUAUAAUUAUAGAAUUAAAAUUAUAUUGAUAGGGGAGCGUUCUACCUUAGAAUAAAGCUUUAGUGUUAAUUAAAGUGAACGAAGUAGAAGUGAGAAUAUCGGUUUGAGUAGCGAUAAUAUCAGUUAAAAUCUGAUACUCCUAAAACCCAAGGAUUCCUAUGAAAUUGUUAUUCUACAUAGGGUUAGUCGAGGCCUAAAAUGAGAUGUAAUGUGUAGUUGAUGGGUAAUUAGGUUAAUAUUCCUAAACCAUAAUUAUUUUACAAUAAAUGACAGAUUUUUAUAUUAUUAAAAUAAGUGUUGGUUAUCUUAUUUUUAAUAUUAUUUAAAUUUCAAGAAAAACUUUAUAUGUGUUAAAAUAAUUUAUGCUCGUACCGUAAACCGACACAGGUGGGUUAGUAAAAUAUACUUAGGAGACGAGAUAACUAUCUCUAAGGAACUCGGCAAAUUAAUCCUGUAACUUCGGAAGAAAGGAGACCUUUUAUUUUAAAGGUUAUAAAAUAGGCCUGAGCGACUGUUUAUCAAAAACACAGGUCUCCGCUAAGUUGAAAAACAAUGUAAGGAGGCUGACGCCUGCCCAGUGCCGGUAGGUUAUCUAAAAAGGAUAUUAAUUCUUUUUUUAAGCCCCGGUAAACGGCGGCUGUACCUAUAACGGUCCUAAGGUAGCGAAAUUCCUUGUCGGGUAAGUUCCGACCCGCACGAAAGGCGUAACGACUUGGGCACUGUCUUUGAGAUAGACUCGGCGAAAUAGAAAUGUCUGUGAAGAUGCGGACAUCCUACACCAGGACAGAAAGACCCUAUGAAGCUUUACUAUAACUUGAAAUUGAAUUUUAGAUUUGAAUGCGCAGAAUAAGUGGGAGAUUUUGAAGUUAAUUUUUAGGAAAUAAUGGAGUCAAUAGUGAGAUACCACUCUUUCAAAAUUGAAAUUCUAACGAAAAUUCUGUAAACCAGUUUUUGAACAGUUUCAGGCGGGUAGUUUGACUGGGGCGGUCGCCUCCUAAAAAGUAACGGAGGCGCACAAAGGUUUUUUAAUUAUGUAAAAAUAUAAAAAAGCUUAACUGUUAGACAUACAAGUUAAACAGAGACGAAAGUCGGUUUUAAUGAUCCGACGAUAUAAUAUGUGAUAAUAUCGUCGCUUAACGGAUAAAAGUUACUCUAGGGAUAACAGGCUGAUCUCCCCUGAUAGUUCUUAUUGACGGGGAGGUUUGGCACCUCGAUGUCGGCUUGUCGCAUCCUGGGGCGGUAGUACGUCCCAAGGGUUGGUCUGUUCGCCCAUUAAAGCGGCACGUGAGCUGGGUUCAGAACGUCGUGAGACAGUUCGGUCCUUAUCCGGUGUAGGCGAUAGAACAUUGAAAGAAUUUCUUCUAGUACGAGAGGAUCGAAGAAACUAUAUCUCUGAUGUACCAGUUAUUUUGCCAAAAGUAUUACGCUGGGAAGUUAAAUAUAGAUAGAAAAAGAUUAACCAUUGAAAGCAUAUAAAUGGGAAAAAUAUCUUAAGAUAAAUGUUCUUUUCAAUUUUAAAAUAGUUUAAAAUAUGAUUAAGAAAUCAAUUAGAAUAAUUGAUAAAUAGCUUAUAAAUAAGUAUAAGUAUAGUAAUAUAUUUAGCUUUUAAGACUAAUAGUUCGAAUAUUUGAAUCU